UACGUAGGGUGCAAGCGUUGUCCGGAAUUAUUGGGCGUAAAGAGCUCGUAGGCGGUUUGUCACGUCGGAUGUGAAAACCCGGGGCUUAACCCCGGGCCUGCAUUCGAUACGGGCUGACUAGAGUUCGGCAGGGGAGACUGGAAUUCCUGGUGUAGCGGUGAAAUGCGCAGAUAUCAGGAGGAACACCGGUGGCGAAGGCGGCUUGCUGGGCCAGUUCUGACGCUGAGGAGCGAAAGCGUGGGGAUCAAACAGG
This 253-nucleotide ribosomal RNA is filed under the name uncultured bacterium. RNAcentral's name for it is "partial 16S ribosomal RNA". It matches the Rfam family "Bacterial small subunit ribosomal RNA", at positions 524 to 776 of the family's 1533-position model. The record is from RNAcentral.